This 468-nucleotide ribosomal RNA is filed under the name uncultured bacterium. RNAcentral describes it as "partial 16S ribosomal RNA". It matches the Rfam family "Bacterial small subunit ribosomal RNA", at positions 28 to 507 of the family's 1533-position model. The record is from RNAcentral.
GACGAACGCUGGCGGCGUGCUUAAUACAUGCAAGUCGAACGGAAAGGCCCUGCUCUUGUGGGGUGCUCGAGUGGCGAACGGGUGAGUAACACGCGAGUAACCUGCCCCUGUCUUUGGGAUAACUUUAGGAAACUGGGGCUAAUAUCGGAUAGGAGCUCCUGCUGCACGGUGGGGGUUGGAAAGUGUCGGCGGUUGGGGAUGGACUCGCUGCUUAUCCGCUUGUUGGUGGGGUAGUGGCUUACCAGGGUUGCGACGGGUAGCCGGCCUGAGAGGGGGACCGGGCACAUUGGGACUGAGAGAGGGCGCAGAAUCCAACGGGAGGCAGCAGGGGAAAGUAUUACGGAGUAGGCGGAAGCGUGAUACGGAGGCGCCGCGUGCGGAAUAACGGCCUUCGGGUUGUAAACCGCUUUCGACUGUGACGAGGCGUGAGUGACGGUAAUGAGUAAGAAAGCACCGGCUAACUACGUG